ACAGAGGGGGCAAGCGUUGUUCGGAAUUACUGGGCGUAAAGGGCGCGUAGGCGGCCUGUUAAGUCGAACGUGAAAUCCCCGGGCUCAACCCGGGAACUGCGUCCGAUACUGGUGGGCUUGAAUCCGGGAGAGGGAUGCGGAAUUCCAGGUGUAGCGGUGAAAUGCGUAGAUAUCUGGAGGAACACCGGUGGCGAAGGCGGCUUCUUGGGCCUUAACUGACGCUGAGGCGCGAAAGCUGGGGGAGCGAACGGGA
Molecule: ribosomal RNA, 253 nt
Filed under: uncultured prokaryote
Description: partial 16S ribosomal RNA
Rfam family: Bacterial small subunit ribosomal RNA
Source: RNAcentral